GACGAACGCUGGCGGCGUGCUUAACACAUGCAAGUCGAACGAUGAAGCCGGAGCUUGCUCUGGUGAAUUAGUGGCGAACGGGUGAGUAACACGUGAGUAACCUGCCCUUGACCCUGGGAUAACUGCGGGAAACUGUAGCUAAUACCGGAUACGACCCUCGGAGGCAUCUCCUGGGGGUGGAAAGAAUUUCGGUCAAGGAUGGACUCGCGGCCUAUCAGCUAGUUGGUGAGGUAAAGGCUCACCAAGGCGACGACGGGUAGCCGGCCUGGGAGGGUGACCGGCCACACUGGGACGGAGACACGGCCCAGACUCCAACGGGAGGCAGCAGUGGGGAAUAUUGCACAAUGGGCGCAAGCCUGAUGCAGCAACGCCGCGGGAGGGAUGACGGCCUUCGGGUUGUAAACCUCUUUUAGCAGGGAAGAAGCGAAAGUGACGGUACCUGCAGAAAAAGCACCGGCUAACUACGUGCCAGCCGCCGCCGUAA
Molecule: ribosomal RNA, 484 nt
Filed under: uncultured bacterium
Lineage: Bacteria
Description: partial 16S ribosomal RNA
Rfam family: Bacterial small subunit ribosomal RNA
Source: RNAcentral